GCUCCUUUGACGUUAGCGGCGGAGGGAGAGUAACACGUGGGUAACCUACCUAUAAGACUGGAAUAACUCCGGGAAACCGGGGCUAAUGCCGGAUAACAUUUAGAACCGCAUGGUUCUAAAGUGAAAGAUGGUUUUGCUAUCACUUAUAGAUGGACCCGCGCCGUAUUAGCUAGUUGGUAAGGUAAUGGCUUACCAAGGCAACGAUACGUAGCCGACCUGAGAGGGUGAUCGGCCACACUGGAACUGAGACACGGUCCAGACUCCUACGGGAGGCAGCAGUAGGGAAUCUUCCGCAAUGGGCGAAAGCCUGACGGAGCAACGCCGCGUGAGUGAUGAAGGGUUUCGGCUCGUAAAACUCUGUUAUUAGGGAAGAACAAACUUUUAAGUAACUGUGCACGUCUUGACGGUACCUAAUCAGAAAGCCACGGCUAACUACGUGCCAGCAGCCGCGGUAAUACGUAGGUGGCAAGCGUUAUCCGGAAUUAUUGGGCGUAAAGCGCGCGUAGGCGGUUUCUUAAGUCUGAUGUGAAAGCCCACGGCUCAACCGUGGAGGGUCAUUGGAAACUGGGAGACUUGAGUGCAGAAGAGGAAAGUGGAAUUCCAUGUGUAGCGGUGAAAUGCGCAGAGAUAUGGAGGAACACCAGUGGCGAAGGCGACUUUCUGGUCUGUAACUGACGCUGAUGUGCGAAAGCGUGGGGAUCAAACAGGAUUAGAUACCCUGGUAGUCCACGCCGUAAACGAUGAGUGCUAAGUGUUAGGGGGUUUCCGCCCCUUAGUGCUGCAGCUAACGCAUUAAGCACUCCGCCUGGGG
Molecule: ribosomal RNA, 811 nt
Filed under: Staphylococcus sp. CASMBAUTRLB5
Lineage: Bacteria; Bacillati; Bacillota; Bacilli; Caryophanales; Staphylococcaceae
Description: bacterial SSU rRNA
Rfam family: Bacterial small subunit ribosomal RNA
Source: RNAcentral